CAAUAGCGUAUAUUAAAGUUGUUGCAGUUAAAACGCUCGUAGUCGGAUUUCGGGGCGGGCCGACCGGUCUGCCGAUGGGUACGCACUGGUCGGCGCGUCCUUCCUUCCGGAGACCGUGCCUACUCUUAACUGAGCGGGGGCGGGAGACGGAUCGUUUACUUUGAAAAAAUCAGAGUGUUUCAAGCAGGCAGCUCGCUCUUGCAUGGAUUAGCAUGGGAUAAUGAAAUAGGACUUUGGUGCUAUUUUGUUGGUUUCGAACACCGAAGUAAUGAUUAACAGGGACAGUCAGGGGCACUCGUAUUCCGCCGAGAGAGGUGAAAUUCUCAGACCAGCGGAAGACGAACUACUGCGAAAGCAUUUGCCAGGGAUGUUUUCACUG
Molecule: ribosomal RNA, 379 nt
Filed under: uncultured eukaryote
Lineage: Eukaryota
Description: partial 18S ribosomal RNA
Rfam family: Eukaryotic small subunit ribosomal RNA
Source: RNAcentral